AACGAACGCUGGCGGCGUGCCUAACACAUGCAAGUCGAACGAGAAAGGGGCUUCGGCCCUGAGUAAAGUGGCGCACGGGUGAGUAACACGUAGGUAACCUGCCUCUAAGGUCGGGAUAACCUGUCGAAAGACGAGCUAAUACCGGAUAAGACUACAGCUUCUGCGGGAGCCGGGGUCAAAGGUAGCCUAUGCUUGCAAGCUAUCACUUAGAGAUGGGCCUGCGUACCAUAGCUAGUUGGUAGGGUAACGGCCGUACCAAGGCAAAGAUGGUUAGCUGGUCUGAGAGGAUGAUCAGCCACACUGGAACUGAGACACGGUCCAGACUCCUACGGGAGGCAGCAGUGGGGAAUAUUGCGCAAUGGCGAAAGCCUGACGCAGCAACGCCGCGUGAG
This 392-nucleotide ribosomal RNA is filed under the name uncultured bacterium. Its description in RNAcentral is "bacterial SSU rRNA". It matches the Rfam family "Bacterial small subunit ribosomal RNA", at positions 29 to 405 of the family's 1533-position model. The record is from RNAcentral.